GACGAACGCUGGCGGCGUGCUUAACACAUGCAAGUCGAACGGAAAGGCCCUGCUUUUGUGGGGUGCUCGAGUGGCGAACGGGUGAGUAACACGUGAGUAACCUGCCCUUGACUUUGGGAUAACUUCAGGAAACUGGGGCUAAUACCGGAUAGGAGCUCCUGCUGCAUGGUGGGGGUUGGAAAGUUUCGGCGGUUGGGGAUGGACUCGCGGCUUAUCAGCUUGUUGGUGGGUUAGUGGCUUACCAAGUCUUUGACGGGUAGCCGGCCUGGGAGGGUGACCGGCCCCAAUGGGCCUGAGAAGCCGGCCGGAGUCCGACGGGAGGCAUCAGUGGGGGAUAGUGCACGAUGGGCGGAAGCCUGAUGCAGCAACGCCGCGUGGGGGAUGACGGCCUUUGGGUUGGAAACCGCGUUCGCCUGUGACGAAGCGUGAGCGACGGUAAUGGGUAAAGAAGCACCGGCUAACUACGUG
This 468-nucleotide ribosomal RNA is filed under the name uncultured bacterium. RNAcentral's name for it is "partial 16S ribosomal RNA". It matches the Rfam family "Bacterial small subunit ribosomal RNA", at positions 28 to 507 of the family's 1533-position model. The record is from RNAcentral.